Equus caballus (horse) is the source of this 4472-nucleotide long non-coding RNA. NCBI's taxonomy places the organism in Eukaryota, Metazoa, Chordata, Mammalia, Perissodactyla, Equidae. The record is from Ensembl.
GCUCUGUGAGACUGGGCCAAUGGCCUCAGUCGUCUUAGACUUGCCCUGGGUCAAUGUGUAUAUUCUUAAGCCAAAUUUCUUUCCAUUCCCAUGAUGCUGUACUGUUCUUAUACUCUUUUCUAAACAUCAUCACUGACUUUGUUUUUAAUUUUUGGACCUAAUUUUUGGACCUGUUUCCAUAUCUCAUAAGGCUCACUUCUUCAUGAAGUCUCCUGUGCUUUUUUUAUUAUCCAUUUGCGGGCACUCAACUUUGAGAGUCAGUGAUAAAAGUGGCACCAGUCCAAAGGAUGAGGAGGGACCUGGAGGCCAUGAGUAUAGGAUGUGCAUUGAAAGAGCUGGAGGUGCCCAGUUUGCAGGAGAGAAAACAUAGGCGUUUCUGCAGGGCUGUCCUGAGGUGGUGCUUCAUGUGGAAGUUGGGGAAAACAACUGGGAGGUCGAUGUUGGCACACUAGAAGAAAAACCGUCACAUGUGAAAACCUUAAAGGUACUUUUGGAAUGGAGAAAUAGAAGAAGCCACUCAGAUCCUGUUGUUGAUAAAGACAAAGACUUCCAAGGUACACAUGCUGUCCAGCUACAUCAGGUUGGUGCAUCCUUUUGAAAUCCCAGAGAUCUUCAGUCUUCUCAUGGACCAAGGAGAUGUGCAGUAUUUGAAGUGGCUGGAGGAGGGCAUGGAGGAGGACUGAGUGGGGGAGGCUUUUUGUGCGUCCUGCUGGCUGCCUCUAGCCUUCAUCAGCUGCACUCUGGGAAAGGGGAGGCCUCUUUCUGCCUCCUGGCAUCUCUGGAUUCCAUGUUUUUGUCAGCACAGAGGAGCUAAGUAACUUGUGAAGGCUGAAGGUCCGAGGCUCCUAAGGCUGGAAGAGGAGGCUGGGCCAGUUGGGCCAGGCAAGAACCCAGUGGAACUUUUCUCUGAGUGCUUCAUGCUUAAAGGUGGCCAGGGGGUGGGAGGGUGAUGAUGGCUGUGUGUAGGGAUCCAGGGGAGGUGGCAGUGAGGGUGAGGUUUGUCACCUUCUCCUGCAGUCACUGUGCCUACCUCGAGUGCCCAAGAUGUAAUUCCUCUCCUUCUCAGGAGGAGGAAUGGACCUCAUGACCUCUUCAGCCAGAACUGUGUGGGAUGAAUGCACCUUUUGGGAAACUGGCAAGCACUUCAUCCAAAAGGAUGAAUUCCUAAUGGUGGAAUUUCAGGGACAAGCAGGAUUAUUUCUCCAGGCGAAAGAUGGUGUUUGUUGUUCCAGAGUCUUGAGGAGGUGGGACUGGGAAUGGGCCUCAAGAGUUUGUAGGACAAGGGAAACAUUAGGGCUUAGACACAGCCUCAUGGGUUGGGAGUAGGUCUUGACUCUUCCUGGCCUGAAUGUGACAGACAGCAGAAGCUUCUGGGGCCUUUCUCAGUGGAGACACAGGUUCUGAGCCCGCCAUACUAUUUCACUUGAGCAUUGAAGCUGAACAUCCUAAAGUAGGAAAGAACCCUGGGGAAUUGCUGGACCAGUGUUUUUCAGACUUACUCCACAGAGCCCCAGGGGUUGACAGAAGGUACUCUGGGGGCUGCCUCGGUGUGCGGGUAAGGAUAUGAGGCCCCCCCACCCAUAAUUCAACCAGUACAACUGUGCUUUUAUUUAUGUAUUGAGCUCCCUUGUAAGCUUUGGGGUUUUUUUUAAAAGUUUUCUCUGUUAAAAGUUUGUGAACCAGUGGUCUAAGCCAAUCUCCAUUUUAUAGAUUCCUAAAGGAAACUGAACUGCACUGAGGUCCAGAAAGGGGGUGACGUGUUGCAUUAUGAAGGGUACAGCCAGGCCUGCUCGCCCUGUGUCUGGUGCUCUCCUAUACCUGCUCCACGGGUCUUAGGGGGAAGAGAGCAGAGAAGGCAGAGCCCUGUGGGGUGAGAAGAGAGACUUGACCAAAGGCCUCUCUGUGCCUCUAUCACAAGGUAACCCUCCUUGGGGGAGACCAUGGGCAGUUUGGGUAGGGGUCCACAGAUAUCUGUGGUAUCCUGGGCCUUUCUUCCCCGAGGGAAGGGUGUGUGGGAGGGGUUUUGCCUGGCUCUAGUUCUGACACCUCCUGUGCUUCUUGGACCUUAGUUCCUCCGAAUAUAAAAUGGGGGGGGGGGGGAUCUCCAGGGGCUCUUCUGUGAAGACCUUGUAGGGACUUUAGGCUGAGGCCCUUCCAAAGGUUCAGAGGAUCCUAUGUUGAGAGCCAGUGGGGAUUUUGGAGGACUGCCUCAGGAGAAGAAUAAAGAGAAUGAUAAUGGUGGUGUCCCUUUUUACAACAGAUGUUUGUGAUACAUAUGAAAAUCUUGUGUAAGUGUGAAAAUCUUGUGAAAACGUUCUGGGGACCCCAAAUGGACUGCCCGUUAUUGCUUUCAGGAUAAAGUCCAAUUUCUUGCUUUGGCUUUCUUUUUUCUUUUUUUGGUUUAUAACAUUGUGUGAUUUCAGGUGUACAUUAUCAUAUAUCAGUUUCUGUAUAGACUACAUCGUGCUCACCACCAAUAGUCUAUAGUUUUUAUCUGUCUUCGGUCUGGCUUUGAAGGCCCUUCAUAACCUUGUCUCCAACUCUGGCAAGUGGAUGGCUCCAAUAUGCUGUGUGAUAUUACCCCUGAUUUCAGGCCAUCCCUUCUGCCUGGAGUGCCCUUAUGCAUGAAUGCUCGUGAAACCUGGCUGCUCCUUUGCAAGGCCUGGCUCCCCUGGUUGGAAGGAAUCUCUCCUGCUGUGGUGUCCCUGUUAUCCUCGUGCACCACAACCAGCCUCCUAUUUCUAGAAUGUGGGCUGCUCGAGGUCAGGGGCGUGUCUGAAUCUAUUUGAUGUCUUCCACAGGGUUUGGCAAAUAUUUCCCAAAUUGAUGUUUAAAGGAUAUGAAUAACUAAAGCUUUCUCUGUAGUCCAUAGUUAUUUUCUAAUUGUUGGAAUUGGCAAAAUCCAACAUUUUUUCCUUGAACUUUCUUAAAGUAGGACUAAUUCCAAAGCAGAUUUUUCUUUCCCUCUGUGGCCUUCAUUGGGUCAUUUUCUAUGCUGACCGUGCAUUGAAAACUGUUGGUGGCCUUCCUUUGCCUCAGUGUCACCGUUGACUAUAGGAAUGGGAGGGGAGAGGGACAGAACACCAGCUCUCUCUGCCAGGUAGUGUUAGGUUCUUAAUUAUUUUUACCUUAUAACUCAGUGUUCUCAUUUUGCAGAUGUAACCUGAGAUCAGAGAGUGUAAGACACCUAAAAUAAGUGUCAGAGCUAUGCUCUGAACCCAGUUUUGAUUCUAAACCUGCUGCUCUUAUUGCCUCUUUCAAAGAGGUUGGAUAUCUUUCUUUAUAGGCCAAAGACCCAGAGAGCCUGCUGUAGCCAACUCUAAAGGAAGUUAUUAGUUCUUAAAACAUCUAUAUGGUAAGUUGGUCUGGCACUUAAACAUUUAUUGCAUUGUUUACUUCUCCCCACAGAUGUGGAGGUUGGUGAUAGUAUCUUCACUCUAUAGAUGAGGGGACAGAUUGAGCGUUGUUCAAGGAUUUUUAGGGUCUGCAUAACUCCAGCUUACAUGGUUUGGCCACUAGACCUCACUGUCCUCCUAGAAUGAUGCUGUGGGAGCUGGGGCCAGGACCUAGACUGGUGUUUCCGUGUGGGAAUUCCUUCCCAGCAUUUCUCAGGAAAUAAAUUUUUUUUUUUUAAGAUCGGCAUCUGAGCUAACAUCCGUUACCAAUCUUUUUGUUUUUUUUCCCUCCUUCUUCUCCCCAGAGACCCCAAGUACACAGUUGUAGAUUCUAGUUGUAGGUCCUUCUGGUUCUGCUAUGUGGGAUGCCACCUCAGCGUGGCUUGAUGAGCGGUGCUAGGUCUGUGCCCAGGAUCCGAACUGGUGAAACCCUGGGCCACUGAAGCAGAGUGCACGAAUUUAACCACUUGGCCACGGGGCCGGCCCCAGGAAAUACAUGUUUUUUGUAUACAGAAUCCCCAGAAAAAUCGGUUGAAGAAAUGAGAAGAGGCAUUAUAAUUAUCCAUGAAUACCAAAGCCUAAAAGCAUAGAGAGGUUACUGGCUUGAAGGGACUCACCUUCAUCAAAUAAAAAGCAAGAGCAAGAAACACUAACACGUGGAGUUGAAGGUUCAGACAACCAGGACAGGAGCAUGCAGGAGAGAAAUGGGUACCAUCUCCUCAGUCUGGCGUGUGAUCGCUGCCCUGUCAUAUGUGUGUGUGUCGGUAGCCCUGUCUGCUGCAAACCGUGAGUUAUUCUUGCCAAUGCAGUAAGUUUAUACACUGCUAUAGUAUACUUCACACAAAUCCUAUCAGCAGUAUUCCAAGAAAUAAGCUUUGGAAGCAAAAUAAAUUCUCAGUUUGGCAAUUUUGACACAUGACCCUGUGUACUGUUAACCCUGCUAGGAUAUGUGAAUGUUAGCAUUAUUUGAAUACUAUCCAAUAAGGUUCCCUGGCAUUUUCUAAUGUUUAAAUAUUCCCUAUAGGCCACAGUUCUCUGUAACUACUACUGAGCUUAACAUGCCUGUUUGUUAGACAC